UACAGAGGUCUCAAGCGUUGUUCGGAAUUAUUGGGCGUAAAGAGCGUGUAGGCGGCCAUACAGGUCCGUUGUGAAAACUCGAGGCUCAACCUCGAGACGUCGAUGGAAACCGUAUGGCUAGAGUCCGGAAGAGGAGAGUGGAAUUCCUGGUGUAGCGGUGAAAUGCGCAGAUAUCAGGAAGAACACCCGUGGCGAAGGCGGCUCUCUGGGACGGUACUGACGCUGAGACGCGAAAGCGUGGGGAGCGAACAGG
RNAcentral lists this ribosomal RNA (253 nucleotides) under uncultured bacterium. RNAcentral's name for it is "partial 16S ribosomal RNA". It matches the Rfam family "Bacterial small subunit ribosomal RNA", at positions 524 to 776 of the family's 1533-position model. The record is from RNAcentral.